Ostrinia furnacalis (Asian corn borer) is the source of this 1015-nucleotide RNA transcript. It is a transcript of the gene named ras-related and estrogen-regulated growth inhibitor, with no coding region annotated. The record is from RefSeq and is a predicted model, not a curated record. NCBI's taxonomy places the organism in Eukaryota, Metazoa, Arthropoda, Insecta, Lepidoptera, Crambidae. The transcript is spliced from 6 exons.
UGAGUAUUUUUGGCGCGCGUUACGCCGCCGCUCGACGCGCCGAGUCGCGCGAUGCUCGCGGCACCAUGACCACGCGUGGCAUAAGGCGGAAGAAGUCCUCCCUAAGUGAGGUCAAAGUGGCCGUGGUUGGUGCGCCGUCAGUCGGCAAAAGUGCCUUGACGGUACGAUUUCUUACUAGGCGGUAUAUAGGCGAAUAUGAUCAUCAACAAGACAGCAAAUACAAGCACGAAGUAUUAUUAGAUGGCGAACCUAUUUUAUUUGAAAUUUUAGAUACUUGUCCUAAGAGCAUAGAAGAACUACCGGGGAACGAAGUAGCGCAAUGGGCCGACUGUCUCUUCCUGGUGUACUCCAUUACGGACCGCGAGUCCUUCAACUACGUGCGGCGCGCCAAGCAGCGCCUGCAGCCCGACAUCCCUCUUACCCUCGUGGGCAACAAGGCUGACAUGGUGCACCUCAGACAGGUUAGUCCAGAAGAAGGCGAAAUCCUGGCUAAGGACUUUGAGUGCAGCUUCGCCGAAGUAGCUGCCGCAGAGCAGGUCAACCAAGUGGGGGAAGUUUUCCACGAGCUCUGCCGCGAAGUCCUGACGCUGAGGAGACGAGCCAAGCACAGCCUUCUGGACAGGAUGCUGGGAUCCAAGACUGCAUAUCGCGUUUACUCUCGAGGGAAAAGUGACAGCGCCCUUCCCAAAGAUUAAAUCAAGUUGGCACAACUUUGUUCUCCGUCGUCUGCCUAUGCUCUAAGCAUUGUGUCAUUUUAGUGCUAUGUUCCAGUAAUACGGAGGUAAUAAAUCCUACACGGCGAAUGCUAUAGUGAGUCGCCAGCUGUAUGUACUAAUUUUAAAGAAUCUUAUAUCGCUUAAUAUUCUCAUUUACUGUUUUCAAUAUAAUAGGAUUACAAUUACCUAUAUGUAUACUCGUACCUUUAAGUUAAUUAACACUAGGUACAAUAAACUUGUCGUCGUGUGUAUUGUACAACAACAAUACUAUCCCUUCCAAUCCCUUAUACCUACGAAUA